RNAcentral lists this transfer-messenger RNA (355 nucleotides) under bacterium. Its description in RNAcentral is "GCA-002701945 sp002701945 Standard tmRNA". It matches the Rfam family "transfer-messenger RNA". Rfam says of the family: Bacterial tmRNA, also known as 10Sa RNA or SsrA, is named for its dual tRNA and mRNA-like properties. Its role is to liberate the mRNA from a stalled ribosome. To accomplish this part of the tmRNA is used as a reading frame that ends in a translation stop signal. The record is from RNAcentral. RNAcentral also lists the same sequence under 1 other name.
GGGGGCGACCGGUUUCGACGGGGUAAGAUAAUGAUAAGAUUGCAUGCAGAGGUUCGGGAUCCUCUUUAAUAUCCCCGAAAUAUCAAUAAAUGCCGAUUACGGCUACAUGGCAGCUGCUUAAUUAGCUCUGCCCGCUCUGGAUUAAGUUUGUCUGUGGUUUAAUCUAAGAGCGUCAUAAACGCAGACUGGUCCCUGGAUUUGUUUACUAGAAAGGGAUAAGAUGUUNUGUAAACUGGUUGAUAUAUGGGUUGUUAUUUGUCCGCUAUAUCAAUGAGAAUAAAUCAGAUGACUAUGUAUGUAGACGUUUUGUUAGAAUCUAUCUCGGACGGGAGUUCGAAUCUCCCCGCCUCCACAU